Molecule: ribosomal RNA, 433 nt
Filed under: uncultured bacterium
Lineage: Bacteria
Description: partial 16S ribosomal RNA
Rfam family: Bacterial small subunit ribosomal RNA
Source: RNAcentral
AACGAACGCUGGCGGAAUGCCUAACACAUGCAAGUCGAACGAGACCUACGAGUCUAAUAGAGCAUGGGUGCGUCACGCGUGGGAACCUGCCCUUAGGUUCGGAAUAACUCUCCGCAAGGGGUGCUAAUACCGGAUAAUGUCUUCGGACCAAAGAUUUAUCGCCUUUGGAUGUUCCCGCGUUGGAUUAGAUAGUUGGUAGGGUAAAAGCCUACCAAGGCGACGACGCAUAGCUGGUCUGUGAGGAUGAUCAGCCACACUGGGCCUGAGACACGGCCCAGACUCCUACGGGAGGCAGCAGUGGGGAAUAGUGGACAAUGGGCUAAAGCCUGAACCAGCAAUGCCGCGUGAGUGAUGAAGGCCGUAGAGUUGUAAAGCGCUUUUACCCGGGAUGAUAAUGACAGUACCGGGAGAAUAAGCUCCGGCUAACUCCGUG